AGUGGUGAUAGAGGCGCGGAAAUCAACAGUAGCUUUCUCGAGGAUGAACAGAUCCGUUGAAGGAAAGUGAAAGGGAAAUUCGCCGAAGUUCGACAUCCUGUAUCAGAUGUCGUGCUGGUUUUGCAUUGAAUAAAUGCAGGAUUGUCAGAAUCUAAUCGAUUCUGGAGGGCUAUCUCACAU
This is a regulatory RNA element of Paenisporosarcina sp. HGH0030, 180 nucleotides long. It matches the Rfam family "Lysine riboswitch aptamer". From Rfam's summary of the family: Riboswitches are metabolite binding domains within certain messenger RNAs that serve as precision sensors for their corresponding targets. Allosteric rearrangement of mRNA structure is mediated by ligand binding, and this results in modulation of gene expression. The record is from Rfam. NCBI's taxonomy places the organism in Bacteria, Bacillati, Bacillota, Bacilli, Caryophanales, Caryophanaceae.